UUGAACGCUGGCGGCAUGCUUUACACCUGCAAGUCGAACGGCAGCGCGGGCUUCGGCCUGGCGGCGAGUGGCGAACGGGUGAGUAAUGCAUCGGAACGUGCCCAGUAGUGGGGGAUAGCCCGGCGAAAGCCGGAUUAAUACCGCAUACGACCUGAGGGUGAAAGCGGGGGACCGAAAGGCCUCGCGCUAUUGGAGCGGCCGAUGUCGGAUUAGCUAGUUGGUGGGGUAAAGGCUUACCAAGGCGACGAUCCGUAGCUGGUCUGAGAGGACGACCAGCCACACUGGGACUGAGACACGGCCCAGACUCCUGCGGGAGGCAGCAGUGGGGAAUUUUGGACAAUGGGGGCAACCCUGAUCCAGCCAUGCCGCGUGCGGGAAGAAGGCCUUCGGGUUGUAAACCGCUUUUGUUCGGGAAGAAAUCCUCUGGGCUAAUACCCCGGGGGGAUGACGGUACCGGAAGAAUAAGCACCGGCUAACUACGUG
RNAcentral lists this ribosomal RNA (483 nucleotides) under uncultured bacterium. RNAcentral's name for it is "partial 16S ribosomal RNA". It matches the Rfam family "Bacterial small subunit ribosomal RNA", at positions 29 to 507 of the family's 1533-position model. The record is from RNAcentral.